CGGACGGGUGAGUAAUGGCUGGGAAACUGCCUGAUGGAGGGGGGUAACUACUGGAAACGGUAGCUAAUACCGCAUAACGUCGCAAGACCAAAGAGGGGGACCUUCGGGCCUCUUGCCAUCGGAUGUGCCCAGAUGGGAUUAGCUAGUAGGUGGGGUAACGGCUCACCUAGGCGACGAUCCCUAGCUGGUCUGAGAGGAUGACCAGCCACACUGGAACUGAGACACGGUCCAG
RNAcentral lists this ribosomal RNA (232 nucleotides) under uncultured bacterium. RNAcentral's name for it is "partial 16S ribosomal RNA". It matches the Rfam family "Bacterial small subunit ribosomal RNA", at positions 99 to 334 of the family's 1533-position model. The record is from RNAcentral.